UAUCCAUAAAGCAAUCUGGAAACUUCUCGGUGCGGAAAACAGAUCAGUUGCUGUGAAAAUAAUUCAAAACAGGAGUCAAAAUUCAGUAGAGAACAUAGUGCAAUUUGAAAAAGAUGUUUAUAAGGAAAUUCAGAAUCUAAGAAAAUGUAUUCAUCGGAAUAUUGUCACAUUAUAUGGAGCCUCAAAAGAUUCGAGCAACAACAUUUGCUUACUCCUUGAGUACACAGAUUGUGGAUCACUCUAUGAUUUUUUGCAUCACUCACUCAAGGAAGUUUCAUUCAACGUGAAGCUUGAUUGGAUGCUGCAAUGUGCCACGGGUUUGGAGUUCUUGCAUAAAAAUAAUACAAUUCAUCGGGAUCUUAAGACGAAAAACUUGUUACUUUUUAAUGAAUAUCGUACAUUGAAAAUUAGUGACUUUGGAAGAGUGAAAGCAUUUGCAAAUUACAGUAGUGAUUUAAUGGAAUCAGUUUGUUAUAUGGCUCCUGAAGUUUGUAACGAAAAUGGGAAAUACAAUAAAAUGUGUGAUGUGUUUAGCUUUGGAAUAACUUUUUGGGAAGUAUUAUCUAGGAAGAAGCCAUUUUACGAAUAUAAAAAUGUGCCUUCGGUGGUUAUCAUAAAAAAAAUUAUUGAUGGGUUUCGACCGAAAAUAAGUGAUGCAAAUAUUAAUGAUGGCUCCGGUUACAUUGAAUUAAUAAUUCAGAAGUGCUGAGAUCGUCUUCCAAAAAACCGGCCGACAAUGAAAGAAUUGUGUGCUCUUCUCCCUAUAUUUCCUAUUUGUCUUCUAGAUAGCGGAAUUGUAAACUUAGAAGAGGUUCAGCUUGGUAAAUUUAUUGGACGUGGAAACUCAGGAGUUGUCCACAAAGCAAUUUGGAAGCUUCCCGAUGCGGAUGAAAAAUCAAUUGCUGUAAAAAUAAUUCAAGAUCAUAAUGAUGAUUCAAUAACGGAAAAUAUUAUAUUUGCCAAAAAUGUAUUUCGAGAAAUACAGAUUAUAAAAAAAUGUAUCCAUCGGAAUAUUAUCGCAUUAUACGGAGUAUCGAAGACUCCUGACAAUAGGUUUUCUUUACUUCUUGCAUUAUUCGGAUGAAAACGUUUCAUUCAAGAAGAUGCUGGAUUGGAUGCUGCAAUGUGCCACGGGUAUAGAAUUCUUGCAUUGCAAAAAUAUAGUUCACCGAAAUCUUACUACGCAUAACUUAUUGCUAAUGAAUAAUUAUGAUACAUUGAAAAUACGUUACGUUGGAACUGUGAAAAAACUUUCAAAAAGCAAUACGGAAAACAUUAGGUAUAUGGCUCCAGAACUAUGUAAUCCUAUCAACAAACAUACGCAAAUGAGUGACGUAUUUAGUUUUGGCGUUAUUUUUUGGGAAGUGUUGUCCAGGAAGAAACCGUUCGAAGAAUUUAUAAAUAUAAAUCCAUUAGAUUUACAACGUAAAAUUAUUAAUGGUGAUCGCCCGAAUAUAAAUGAAUUGAACAUUUUCAAAUAUUCCAAUCGUAUAAAGUGAUUUAUAGAAAAAUGCUGGAAUCGCGAUCCAAAAAUUCGACCUACUACAGAUCGACUUGUUAAUUUUUUCAAGAAUACUGAGUAUUUUAAUAUA
RNA transcript from Drosophila nasuta, 1592 nucleotides. It is a transcript of the gene named putative mitogen-activated protein kinase kinase kinase 7-like, with no coding region annotated. The transcript is spliced from 8 exons. Lineage: Eukaryota; Metazoa; Arthropoda; Insecta; Diptera; Drosophilidae. The record is from RefSeq and is a predicted model, not a curated record.